Molecule: long non-coding RNA, 2227 nt
Filed under: Salmo salar (Atlantic salmon)
Lineage: Eukaryota; Metazoa; Chordata; Actinopteri; Salmoniformes; Salmonidae
Description: lncRNA (ENSSSAG00000086059.1)
Source: RNAcentral
CAAUCUGGCAACAAAGGCAGGGGGUUGACUGAUGUGUUCAUCAUUAGAGACAUUUCAGGCGCCUGCUAAAUUGGCCAGAUUAUGAAAUCUUUGCCUGAGCAGGAGAGUAAUAAUCAAAAUGAAUUUCAUCUUUAACUGAAUGAGCUCCAUCAUUAGUCUUCAUCAGAGUCUCACGUUGUUAUAUUAGCGCAAUACAAUAGAAAAAAAAUGGAUUGUACUCAAUUUAGUUUCGAAGCCCCCUUCCAAACAAGCUACUGAGUAAGGCUAACUUCCAAAUGGGACCCUGUUCCCUAUAUUAGUGUAAUACUGACCCGGGUCCAUCGAAGAUAGUGUCCUGAUAUAUUAACAUACAUCAUACUGUCCUGAUAUAUUAACAUACAUCAUACUCUCCUGAUACAUUAACAUACAUCAUACUGUCCUGAUAUAUUAACAUACAUCAUACUGUCCUGAUACAUUAACAUACAUCAUACUGUCCUGAUACAUUAACAUACAUCAAACUGUCCUGAUACAUUAACAUACAUCAUACUGUCCUGAUAUAUUAACAUACAUCAUACUGUCCUGAUAUAUUAACAUACAUCAUACUGUCCUGAUAUAUUAACAUACAUCAUACUGUCCUGAUACAUUAACAUACAUCAAACUGUCCUGAUACAUUAACAUACAUCAUACUGUCCUGAUAUAUUAACAUACAUCAAACUGUCCUGAUAUAUUAACAUACAUCAUACUGUCCUGAUACAUUAACAUACAUCAUACUGUCCUGAUAUAUUAACAUACAGUACAUCAUACUGUCCUGAUAUAUUAACAUACAUCAUACUGUCCUGAUAUAUUAACAUACAGUACAUCAUACUGUCCUGAUACAUUAACAUACAUCAUACUGUCCUGAUAUAUUAACAUACAGUACAUCAUACUGUCCUGAUAUAUUAACAUACAUCAUACUGUCCUGAUAUAUUAACAUACAUCAUACUGUCCUGAUAUAUUAACAUACAUCAUACUGUCCUGAUAUAUUAACAUACAUCAUACUGUCCUGAUAUAUUAACAUACAUCAUACUGUCCUGAUAUAUUAACAUACAUCAUACUGUCCUGAUACAUUAACAUACAUCAUACUGUCCUGAUAUAUUAACAUACAGUACAUCAUACUGUAUUGAUACAUUAACAUACAUCAUACUGUCCUGAUACAUUAACAUACAGUACAUCAUACUGUAUUGAUACAUUAACAUACGUCACAUUCACAAGCAGCUAAACAGAUAGUGACUGGGUGAGUGAUGAUACUGUUAUAAUAUAGUAUAAUACUGUUAUACAGAUACUGAAUGGCUGUUUCCUCAGUUCAGGGUGGGAGUUAACGUUAUAGGCCGAGUGUUUGUCACCAAAGAAAGGAAGCAUUGAAGACAACAGUUGUAUAUUUAACGUACAGGCCAACAUAUCAUCAUGACAUUGACUUACCUACAGAUAUCACCCAACAAACUGACACAGUUUCAUAGAAACAUUAGUACAAUGACAGGAGUGAGAAAGAGACAAGUUCAUCAACUUUUUAUCUUUGCAAAUCAAUAUUCCUCUUGAUCCAUUAUAAGGUGAUAAUUACGUUAAAACAUCAGUGAUUACGUGAGAGUGCCAGAAUAUCUAUUUCUACAAGUGUAUGUGCACAUGACCCCGGGGGCAUCGGGAGAUGCAUUAAUGGAAUCCCACACAUAACAAAAAGUUCUUAUCGCUACCAGAGUGUGAGGCUGAGACAUCUUUAUUCCUGGAGAUAGUGACAGACACAACGUAAGCCAUUGAACUAACUCUUUUCAUCAGACAGAUGUUUCAUCACGUCCAAUGAAAGUUCAUGAUAGUCUCAUUCUCUUCAUGAUGGAAUCUCAGUACCUUUACUGAUGGAAAAAAACAACAACUUUUAUUUCAGAAUAUUGCCUUCAGCUGCUCCAGCAGGUUAGUAAUAUACUGUAUAAUCAAUGAAAACUGUUCUGUAUUUGUAUUUAUUAUGGAUCACUAUUAGUUGUUGCCAAGGCAGCAGCUAUUCUUCCUGGGGUCCAGCAAAAUUAAGGCAGUUAUACAUUUUUUUUAAUAUUAUAGAACAACAUAUUGUAGUACAACACUCCAAGUGUGUACCCUCAGGCCCCUACUCUACUACCACAUAUGUACUACACAAAAUCCAUGUGAAUGUGUGUGUAUAGUGUGUAUGUUAUCGGGUGGUUGUAUGCAUCUGUGCCUAUGUUUGUGUUGCUUCACAGUCCCC